Long non-coding RNA from Toxorhynchites rutilus septentrionalis, 410 nucleotides. RefSeq lists it as uncharacterized. The transcript is spliced from 3 exons. NCBI's taxonomy places the organism in Eukaryota, Metazoa, Arthropoda, Insecta, Diptera, Culicidae. The record is from RefSeq and is a predicted model, not a curated record.
UCAAAAUCCGUCUUUUUCAUUGAACGUGUGUCAAGCGGUGAAGACGUAUUUUGUCUCACCCCAGCAUCAGUGGAAAUGAGAGCCAAGUGGCGUAAGAAGCGUAUGCGGAGGUUGAAGCGGAAGCGCAGGAAGAUGCGUGCGAGGUCCAAGUAAACUGCUAGAAAGCAGCGCUUCUUCCCAACUGUUGAACGUUACGAGGAGCUGGACACAAAAAACAUCUUUGCGGUUAACCUGAUGGUCUUACGAGCGGAUUGCAGUGUAAAAACAUUCGUUUGAUGGUGGCAGGUUGUGCUCUGCAUUUUAUUUGGUAUAAAUAAACUGCUUCGGCAACGCUAUGAUGAUUGAAAAAACAGUGUUUUUGAUAAACCGACAACCGUGAAUCAUAGCCUUGUUAAGAAUAUUGAUGUAAA